RNAcentral lists this ribosomal RNA (254 nucleotides) under uncultured bacterium. RNAcentral's name for it is "partial 16S ribosomal RNA". It matches the Rfam family "Bacterial small subunit ribosomal RNA", at positions 524 to 776 of the family's 1533-position model. The record is from RNAcentral.
UACGGAGGAUCCAAGCGUUAUCCGGAUUUAUUGGGUUUAAAGGGUGCGUAGGCGGCUUAUUAAGUCAGGGGUGAAAGACGGUGGCUCAACCAUCGCAGUGCCCUUGAUACUGGAUGAGCUUGAAUACACUAGAGGUAGGCGGAAUGUGACAAGUAGCGGUGAAAUGCAUAGAUAUGUCACAGAACACCGAUUGCGAAGGCAGCUUACUAUGGUGUGAUUGACGCUGAUGGACGAAAGCGUGGGUAGCGAACAGG